UCCGUUAUUUUUCGCCAAAAACG
RNAcentral lists this small nuclear RNA (23 nucleotides) under Arabidopsis thaliana (thale cress). RNAcentral describes it as "snRNA_09382". The record is from RNAcentral. Lineage: Eukaryota; Viridiplantae; Streptophyta; Magnoliopsida; Brassicales; Brassicaceae.